AAAAAGGCGGAGAAGAAGAGGAGUACGCAGGUGUUACCGCUCCACAAAAGAGAGGGCUGUCCGUGGGCUGAGAGGCGGCCUGGAGAAGGAACUGCGGAAGGUAGCUUUGGAGCCGGAUGGCUGAAUGGCAGACAGCAGGUAAGUCAUCCCGGAGUCGUUCACGUUACAGAAUAAGAGAAGAUAUAUGGAAGUGUUUCUUCCAUAUUAAAUAAAGGUGGUACCGCGGACAGAUAUAUUCGCCCUUUAC
Molecule: non-coding RNA, 247 nt
Filed under: Lachnoclostridium sp.
Lineage: Bacteria; Bacillati; Bacillota; Clostridia; Lachnospirales; Lachnospiraceae
Description: T-box sequence
Rfam family: T-box leader
About the family: Uncharged tRNA acts as the effector for transcription antitermination of genes in the T-box leader family. T-boxes are found upstream of many aminoacyl-tRNA synthetase genes and some amino acid biosynthetic genes usually in Gram-positive bacteria. The anticodon of a specific tRNA base pairs to a specifier sequence within the T-box motif, and the NCCA acceptor tail of the tRNA base pairs to a conserved bulge in the T-box antiterminator hairpin.
Source: RNAcentral